GGGGGGUGGUAUUGCAAAUUCUUUUUAUAUUGACUUUUUCUGUGAACUUUUAAAAUAAAUUCUUAUUAUUAAACCCAGCAUAGGCGUUGACUUGGCUGAGAGACUGAGUUGAUAGGUUACUAGUUUAAGGAUCAUUAAAAAAAAUUAAUUAAAUAUACACCUAUUAACAUAAAUAAAUAAGUUUAAUUAACUAUUUUCUUUUAACUUCAAAAUCAAACUUUUAACAUUCAUUAAGUAACCAUGAAUGAAGAAACAACAAAGCAACAACAGCAGAUCUCAUUUCAACCCAUCCAAAGCCCUAGAUGCCACCCUUAAGAAAAAGCAUCAAUCAAAAUUUUGACCCCAUCCUCUAGAAAAAAAUACAGGGCAAUGCACAAAUGCCUCUUUCCCUCUCUCUCU
This 399-nucleotide unclassified non-coding RNA is filed under the name Hevea brasiliensis (rubber tree). The record is from RNAcentral. Lineage: Eukaryota; Viridiplantae; Streptophyta; Magnoliopsida; Malpighiales; Euphorbiaceae.